UGGGGAAUAUUGGGCAAUGGGCGAAGGCCUGACCCAGCGACGCCGCGUGGGUGAUGAAAGCCUUCGGGUUGUAAAGCCCUGUCAUGCGGAAAGAACGACCCUGAGACGCAUACUCUCAGGGAGUGACGGUACCGCAGGAGGAAGCACCGGCUAACUCCGUGCCAGCAGCCGCGGUAAUACGGAGGGUGCAAGCGUUGUUCGGAAUUAUUGGGCGUAAAGGGCGCGUAGGCGGUAAUGUAAGUCAGAUGUGAAAUACUCCGGCUCAACCAGAGAACAGCAUCUGAAACUGCAUAACUAGAGUAUAGAAGAGGGAAACGGAAUUCCCGGUGUAGAGGUGAAAUUCGUAGAUAUCGGGAGGAACACCAGUGGCGAAGGCGGUUUCCUGGUCUGAUACUGACGCUGAGGCGCGAAAGCGUGGGGAGCAAACAG
RNAcentral lists this ribosomal RNA (429 nucleotides) under uncultured bacterium. Its description in RNAcentral is "bacterial SSU rRNA". It matches the Rfam family "Bacterial small subunit ribosomal RNA", at positions 355 to 775 of the family's 1533-position model. The record is from RNAcentral.